This 1818-nucleotide ribosomal RNA is filed under the name Klebsiella aerogenes. RNAcentral describes it as "bacterial LSU rRNA". It matches the Rfam family "Bacterial large subunit ribosomal RNA", at positions 1142 to 2925 of the family's 2925-position model. Lineage: Bacteria; Pseudomonadati; Pseudomonadota; Gammaproteobacteria; Enterobacterales; Enterobacteriaceae. The record is from RNAcentral.
UCACUGGUCGAGUCGGCCUGCGCGGAAGAUGUAACGGGGCUAAACCAUGCACCGAAGCUGCGGCAGCGACACUAUGUGUUGUUGGGUAGGGGAGCGUUCUGUAAGCCGUUGAAGGUGACCUGUGAGGGUUGCUGGAGGUAUCAGAAGUGCGAAUGCUGACAUAAGUAACGAUAAAGCGGGUGAAAAGCCCGCUCGCCGGAAGACCAAGGGUUCCUGUCCAACGUUAAUCGGGGCAGGGUGAGUCGACCCCUAAGGCGAGGCCGAAAGGCGUAGUCGAUGGGAAACAGGUUAAUAUUCCUGUACUUGGUGUUACUGCGAAGGGGGGACGGAGAAGGCUAUGUUAGCCGGGCGACGGUUGUCCCGGUUUAAGCAUGUAGGCGGAGGUUCCAGGUAAAUCCGGUACCUUUUAACGCUGAGGUGUGAUGACGAGGCACUACGGUGCUGAAGUAACAAAUGCCCUGCUUCCAGGAAAAGCCUCUAAGCAUCAGGUAACACAAAAUCGUACCCCAAACCGACACAGGUGGUCAGGUAGAGAAUACCAAGGCGCUUGAGAGAACUCGGGUGAAGGAACUAGGCAAAAUGGUGCCGUAACUUCGGGAGAAGGCACGCUGAUGGUAAGUGAAGCGACUUGCUCGUGGAGCUGAACUCAGUCGAAGAUACCAGCUGGCUGCAACUGUUUAUUAAAAACACAGCACUGUGCAAACACGAAAGUGGACGUAUACGGUGUGACGCCUGCCCGGUGCCGGAAGGUUAAUUGAUGGGGUUAUCCGUAAGGAGAAGCUCUUGAUCGAAGCCCCGGUAAACGGCGGCCGUAACUAUAACGGUCCUAAGGUAGCGAAAUUCCUUGUCGGGUAAGUUCCGACCUGCACGAAUGGCGUAAUGAUGGCCAGGCUGUCUCCACCCGAGACUCAGUGAAAUUGAACUCGCUGUGAAGAUGCAGUGUACCCGCGGCAAGACGGAAAGACCCCGUGAACCUUUACUAUAGCUUGACACUGAACAUUGAGCCUUGAUGUGUAGGAUAGGUGGGAGGCUUUGAAGCGUGGACGCCAGUCUGCGUGGAGCCAACCUUGAAAUACCACCCUUUAAUGUUUGAUGUUCUAACGUUGACCCGUGAUCCGGGUUGCGGACAGUGUCUGGUGGGUAGUUUGACUGGGGCGGUCUCCUCCUAAAGUGUAACGGAGGAGCACGAAGGUUAGCUAAUCCUGGUCGGACAUCAGGAGGUUAGUGCAAUGGCAUAAGCUAGCUUGACUGCGAGAGUGACGGCUCGAGCAGGUGCGAAAGCAGGUCAUAGUGAUCCGGUGGUUCUGAAUGGAAGGGCCAUCGCUCAACGGAUAAAAGGUACUCCGGGGAUAACAGGCUGAUACCGCCCAAGAGUUCAUAUCGACGGCGGUGUUUGGCACCUCGAUGUCGGCUCAUCACAUCCUGGGGCUGAAGUAGGUCCCAAGGGUACGGCUGUUCGCCGUUUAAAGUGGUACGCGAGCUGGGUUUAGAACGUCGUGAGACAGUUCGGUCCCUAUCUGCCGUGGGCGCUGGAGAAUUGAGGGGGGCUGCUCCUAGUACGAGAGGACCGGAGUGGACGCAUCACUGGUGUUCGGGUUGUCAUGCCAAUGGCAUUGCCCGGUAGCUAAAUGCGGAAAAGAUAAGUGCUGAAAGCAUCUAAGCACGAAACUUGCCCCGAGAUGAGUUCUCCCUGACCCUUUAAGGGUCCUGAAGGAACGUUGAAGACGACGACGUUGAUAGGUCGGGUGUGUAAGCGUAGCGAUACGUUGAGCUAACCGAUACUAAUGAACCGUGAGGCUUAACCUUACAACGCCGAAG